AAAUGCACAUGCUGUGAGCUCGAUGAGUAGGGCGGGACACGUGGUAUCCUGUCUGAAUAUGGGGGGACCAUCCUCCAAGGCUAAAUACUCCUGACUGACCGAUAGUGAACCAGUACCGUGAGGGAAAGGCGAAAAGAACCCCGGCGAGGGGAGUGAAAAAGAACCUGAAACCGUGUACGUACAAGCAGUGGGAGCACGCUUAGGCGUGUGACUGCGUACCUUUUGUAUAAUGGGUCAGCGACUUAUAUUCUGUAGCAAGGUUAACCGAAUAGGGGAGCCGAAGGGAAACCGAGUCUUAACUGGGCGUUAAGUUGCAGGGUAUAGACCCGAAACCCGGUGAUCUAGCCAUGGGCAGGUUGAAGGUUGGGUAACACUAACUGGAGGACCGAACCGACUAAUGUUGAAAAAUUAGCGGAUGACUUGUGGCUGGGGGUGAAAGGCCAAUCAAACCGGGAGAUAGCUGGUUCUCCCCGAAAGCUAUUUAGGUAGCGCCUCGUGAAUUCAUCUCCGGGGGUAGAGCACUGUUUCGGCAAGGGGGUCAUCCCGACUUACCAACCCGAUGCAAACUGCGAAUACCGGAGAAUGUUAUCACGGGAGACACACGGCGGGUGCUAACGUCCGUCGUGAAGAGGGAAACAACCCAGACCGCCAGCUAAGGUCCCAAAGUCAUGGUUAAGUGGGAAACGAUGUGGGAAGGCCCAGACAGCCAGGAUGUUGGCUUAGAAGCAGCCAUCAUUUAAAGAAAGCGUAAUAGCUCACUGGUCGAGUCGGCCUGCGCGGAAGAUGUAACGGGGCUAAACCAUGCACCGAAGCUGCGGCAGCGACGCUGAUGCGUUGUUGGGUAGGGGAGCGUUCUGUAAGCCUGUGAAGGUGUGCUGUGAGGCAUGCUGGAGGUAUCAGAAGUGCGAAUGCUGACAUAAGUAACGAUAAAGCGGGUGAAAAGCCCGCUCGCCGGAAGACCAAGGGUUCCUGUCCAACGUUAAUCGGGGCAGGGUGAGUCGACCCCUAAGGCGAGGCCGAAAGGCGUAGUCGAUGGGAAACAGGUUAAUAUUCCUGUACUUGGUGUUACUGCGAAGGGGGGACGGAGAAGGCUAUGUUGGCCGGGCGACGGUUGUCCCGGUUUAAGCGUGUAGGCUGGUUUUCCAGGCAAAUCCGGAAAAUCAAGGCUGAGGCGUGAUGACGAGGCACUACGGUGCUGAAGCAACAAAUGCCCUGCUUCCAGGAAAAGCCUCUAAGCAUCAGGUAACAUCAAAUCGUACCCCAAACCGACACAGGUGGUCAGGUAGAGAAUACCAAGGCGCUUGAGAGAACUCGGGUGAAGGAACUAGGCAAAAUGGUGCCGUAACUUCGGGAGAAGGCACGCUGAUAUGUAGGUGAAGCGACUUGCUCGUGGAGCUGAAAUCAGUCGAAGAUACCAGCUGGCUGCAACUGUUUAUUAAAAACACAGCACUGUGCAAACACGAAAGUGGACGUAUACGGUGUGACGCCUGCCCGGUGCCGGAAGGUUAAUUGAUGGGGUCAGCGCAAGCGAAGCUCUUGAUCGAAGCCCCGGUAAACGGCGGCCGUAACUAUAACGGUCCUAAGGUAGCGAAAUUCCUUGUCGGGUAAGUUCCGACCUGCACGAAUGGCGUAAUGAUGGCCAGGCUGUCUCCACCCGAGACUCAGUGAAAUUGAACUCGCUGUGAAGAUGCAGUGUACCCGCGGCAAGACGGAAAGACCCCGUGAACCUUUACUAUAGCUUGACACUGAACAUUGAGCCUUGAUGUGUAGGAUAGGUGGGAGGCUUUGAAGUGUGGACGCCAGUCUGCAUGGAGCCGACCUUGAAAUACCACCCUUUAAUGUUUGAUGUUCUAACGUUGACCCGUAAUCCGGGUUGCGGACAGUGUCUGGUGGGUAGUUUGACUGGGGCGGUCUCCUCCUAAAGAGUAACGGAGGAGCACGAAGGUUGGCUAAUCCUGGUCGGACAUCAGGAGGUUAGUGCAAUGGCAUAAGCCAGCUUGACUGCGAGCGUGACGGCGCGAGCAGGUGCGAAAGCAGGUCAUAGUGAUCCGGUGGUUCUGAAUGGAAGGGCCAUCGCUCAACGGAUAAAAGGUACUCCGGGGAUAACAGGCUGAUACCGCCCAAGAGUUCAUAUCGACGGCGGUGUUUGGCACCUCGAUGUCGGCUCAUCACAUCCUGGGGCUGAAGUAGGUCCCAAGGGUAUGGCUGUUCGCCAUUUAAAGUGGUACGCGAGCUGGGUUUAGAACGUCGUGAGACAGUUCGGUCCCUAUCUGCCGUGGGCGCUGGAGAACUGAGGGGGGCUGCUCCUAGUACGAGAGGACCGGAGUGGACGCAUCACUGGUGUUCGGGUUGUCAUGCCAAUGGCACUGCCCGGUAGCUAAAUGCGGAAGAGAUAAGUGCUGAAAGCAUCUAAGCACGAAACUUGCCCCGAGAUGAGUUCUCCCUGACUCCUUGAGAGUCCUGAAGGAACGUUGAAGACGACGACGUUGAUAGGCCGGGUGUGUAAGCGCAGCGAUGCGUUGAGCUAACCGGUACUAAUGAACCGUGAG
RNAcentral lists this ribosomal RNA (2549 nucleotides) under Escherichia coli. RNAcentral's name for it is "partial 23S ribosomal RNA". It matches the Rfam family "Bacterial large subunit ribosomal RNA", at positions 383 to 2915 of the family's 2925-position model. Lineage: Bacteria; Pseudomonadati; Pseudomonadota; Gammaproteobacteria; Enterobacterales; Enterobacteriaceae. The record is from RNAcentral.